UUUAAGCCUUCUAGGUAGUAAAUAAAAUUAAAACCUAAUAAAAUGGCGGUCUUAAUACUUUAGAGAAACUCGCUUUAUAAUCGAUAAUACCCGCUAAUUUUCACUUUUCUCAAAAUCCUAUAUACCGCCGUUCAAAGGGUACACCCUACCGUAAGACCCUACUAUUACCCUAACAAAAAAAAUCAGGUCAAGGUGUAGACUAUAGAAAAGAAAAAGUAAGUUACAUUAAAAAUAAUUUAAGAAUAGAACCUAAAAAAGAACCGGAAAAAGAAUCUAUACGUAAACUUUGAUUAAAAUUCAAAAUCGAAACACAAUAUUACAGACGC
This 326-nucleotide ribosomal RNA is filed under the name Metagonia sp. Br10-38. RNAcentral describes it as "partial 12S ribosomal RNA". The record is from RNAcentral. Lineage: Eukaryota; Metazoa; Arthropoda; Arachnida; Araneae; Pholcidae.